AAUGUUUUAUUGUGUUCCUCGUAUGAUGAAACGCUUAUAAAGAUCAGAAUUCCUAUAUGGAAACACUCUGUGGUACACCAAGUUACCUCGCUACCAAAAUGUUAAUCCCGUAGCCUGAAGAACGAUCCUACAAGAAAUCGUGUGACUGCUGGAGCCUGGGAGUUAUACUAUAUGUUUGCAGGCAAAUAACCCAUUAGAGAAACAAGUCAAAGAAGGGUCGUAUAAAUUUCCGAACAACCUCUGGAAGAAUGUUAGCAGUGAAGCUAAGGAUCUUAUAACAAAACUGCUUACUGUUGGUCACAGAAAAUGCGUCACGGUUUCAGAAGCUCUGGAACAUCCUUGGAUGAAGGAUAAAGAAAUGAUAGAAAAAGCAGAAAAAAUGAUAAAACCGACCGUGGAUGGAAGAUCAAUGUCUCCACCCUUAUAAAAGGUAUGUUGAAAACUACGAUACUUGUCCCGUUCUUCCGUCCAAUGACCCUUAUUUUCAACUCGCAAUUGCAAUGAAACAUUACAUGUUUGCAAGUUACAUCGAAAUUUAACCAGCUUUCCGAAACAAUCUCAAGGCGC
Molecule: long non-coding RNA, 567 nt
Filed under: Dendronephthya gigantea
Lineage: Eukaryota; Metazoa; Cnidaria; Anthozoa; Malacalcyonacea; Nephtheidae
Description: uncharacterized LOC114544057
Source: RNAcentral